UACGGGGGGAGCAAGCGUUGUUCGGAUUUACUGGGCGUAAAGGGCGCGUAGGCGGCCACCGCAAGUCAAUUGUGAAAUCCCCGGGCUUAACCUGGGAACUGCAUUUGGGACUGCAAGGCUUGAGUACGGCAGAGGGGGGUAGAAUUCCUGGUGUAGCAGUGAAAUGCGUAGAUAUCAGGAGGAAUACCGAUGGCGAAGGCAGCCCCCUGGGUCGAUACUGACGCUCAUGCACGAAAGCGUGGGGAGCAAACAGG
RNAcentral lists this ribosomal RNA (254 nucleotides) under uncultured bacterium. RNAcentral describes it as "partial 16S ribosomal RNA". It matches the Rfam family "Bacterial small subunit ribosomal RNA", at positions 524 to 776 of the family's 1533-position model. The record is from RNAcentral.